RNAcentral lists this ribosomal RNA (253 nucleotides) under uncultured bacterium. RNAcentral's name for it is "partial 16S ribosomal RNA". It matches the Rfam family "Bacterial small subunit ribosomal RNA", at positions 524 to 776 of the family's 1533-position model. The record is from RNAcentral.
UACGGGGGGGGCAAGCGUUGUUCGGAAUUACUGGGCGUAAAGGGCUCGUAGGUGGCCAACUAAGUCAGACGUGAAAUCCCCAGGCUCAACUUGGGAACUGCGUCUGAUACUGGAUGGCUAGAGGUUGGGAGAGGGAUGCGGAAUUCCAGGUGUAGCGGUGAAAUGCGUAGAUAUCUGGAGGAACACCGGUGGCGAAGGCGGCAUCCUGGACCAAUUCUGACGCUGAGGAGCGAAAGCCAGGGGAGCAAACGGG